UACAGAGGUCCCAAGCGUUGUUCGGAUUCAUUGGGCGUAAAGGGCGCGUAGGCGGCUUCUUAAGCGUGUGGUGAAAGCUCAGGGCUCAACUCUGAGUCGGCCAUGCGAACUGGGAGGCUUGAGCACUGUAGAGGCGAGGUGGAAUUCCGGGUGUAGCGGUGGAAUGCGUAGAGAUCCGGAAGAACACCGGUGGCGAAGGCGGCCUGCUGGGCAGUAGCUGACGCUGAGGCGCGACAGCGUGGGGGAGCAAACAGG
Molecule: ribosomal RNA, 255 nt
Filed under: uncultured bacterium
Lineage: Bacteria
Description: partial 16S ribosomal RNA
Rfam family: Bacterial small subunit ribosomal RNA
Source: RNAcentral